AGAGAAGGCUUCCAAAUAGGUAGCUUUUAAUUACAUUUGUACAGAAAGCAUAGCUUUGUAGCUUUCAUUUACAACUCAAGACCUCCCAAUCUUACAUACACUGCACUGGCAAUUGUGUCAACAAGCUCCAGCUGUAGCAUUCCUGUGUGGCAGGAGCCUCCACCUGAGUUAGAGGGAUAAGGCACUCCUACAGAAGCUGAUGCUAUUUACUGCUUGCUUCUCAGGGCUGCCUUGCCCUGCAGGUACUGCAGUCAGGCAGCUGCAAAGGAGGCACAGCUCCUGGGAAUACAGUUCCUGCUGGUUCUGAGGCUGGGCUAAGCCACUUCCAAUAAUUUGAUGUCUGCCCUGCAAUGCAGCCCAGUAAGUGUGGACUCAUCUUUCCUGCAGCUAUGGAAGAUUAGAUUCAGCAGAAUGAAAGGCACCAGUUAAAACUCUAUGAAGUGAGAACAAACCAUGCCUCAAAGUUUCCAAGUCAUCUUACAAGUACAGAUACCUGCAGUCAUGCAUGGUGCCUGUUGCCAGAUCAGCUGGCUGGAAGAACUGAGUGUUCUACUCCCUGGCUGUCCAGUAGGAUUUUAUGACGUUUUUGCAAGCUGUUCAAGAAGCCAAUGGUACCAUCUCUUCCCCCAGAGUGCACCGACAACUCGGACACAUGCCUGCCCUUGGACUGAAUGCUGCUUCCCUCUUGUACUCAGCAGCUACUGCAACACCCUCACUUCUUCUAACAUGUUCUCAGUUUUUCUUGCACUUUUUGCUCUCAUCAUGUUUUGCCAAAGUCACAAUUUUCUGGCUUGUGACUCCAAUUCUCCUUAGCCAUCAGCUUCCACUGUCAGCUGCAGCACCUUCUGGUCAUGCCAUCAUACUUUAUACUUCUUGGAAUGGAGUACCUUUUCUCUGUUUAUUUAGUCUGUAUAUUGCUGAACUAUUUAUAUUCCUUCAGAGAACAUGGUUCCAGUAGUAUCCACUAUCUAUUAUUUUAAACCACUGGCUGGUUUUUGUUUCAAAAAUCCACUGGGAUAUGAAAUUUGUUCUCAGCUAAGACACAGCUGAUCCAACCCAAUGGCCAAAAGCCUGUUAGUCCCUGAUGGGAAGGGAAAUCUUGCUUUGAAACCCAGCCCCAGUAUGACACAGCAAAUCUGGACAGGCUCUGACAUCACGAGCAGUAAUGUCUCCUGAGACAACACUGAGUGCUGCAUGGAAAAUCCUGGUAACCUGGCAGACCUCAGUGAGGCAUAGUUAAUAUCCUUUUGUAGGGGGAAAGGAAAAAAAAUUAUACAGAACAGUCUGGUGCACAAACAGAACAAAAUUCCAAAGCAUCUGAAAACAAUUUUGUUUUUCCAGUAGUAACCCAGGAAGCAUCUCUUGAGACAACUGUUACUGUAACUCUGGGGGAACAGUAGUUCUCAAAGCCUAGAAGGAGCCUGCAAACAGAAACAGUAACAUCAAUGAUCACUCAAUCUUUCUCAGAAUACUUUUCUAAUCUAUUUCUACUACAGAAGACCAAAUUAGAUGUUCUUUCAAGUUUAUUCACUGUUCUCCCCAAGAGAAUGGCUUCCAAAUAUGUAAUUUUAUAAGCAAACUAUUGUGACUUGGUACCCCUCCCCAAGGCCCAACUAUGUUGACAAAUCUUUCAAACUUUCCUCCCAAAUAGGACUGCAGAUUCUGAUUAUUUCAUUCUUGCUCCACACCUUUUUUCUGCUCUGCAAAUCCUCUUCCCUUACCCAAACCAGAGUAAUUAUGUUCUACAGCAGAAAGCAGGUAAGUGGUAACUCAAACAUA
Long non-coding RNA from Passer montanus (Eurasian tree sparrow), 1779 nucleotides. RefSeq lists it as uncharacterized. The record is from RefSeq and is a predicted model, not a curated record. NCBI's taxonomy places the organism in Eukaryota, Metazoa, Chordata, Aves, Passeriformes, Passeridae. The transcript is spliced from 2 exons.